GGAUAUAAAACUUAUUUUUUAGAAAUUAAUUAUUUAUUAAAUUUACAUUAGAUUAGAAAAUUUAUUAUUUCAGACAGUUGAUUUGACCACGUGAUUUUUAGAAUGAAAUGGAUUUAUAAUCAGUUACUUUUAAAGUUAAAAUCAGUUUAAUUAAAUCAUUUCACUACCAUGUUUUAUUCGAACUACAUGUUUCAGUAUAGUCAAAGUUAUUUUUUAAAAACCACCAGAAUGUACCCAGGUGAUUUUACUCGCUUUACAUUGGUGUGAAUAUGUUUCCAUAGUGCAUGAUCAGUUAUGGUGAUUUUACCCACUCUACACUAUUGUGAAUGUGUUUCCAUAGUGUUUGACCAAAAUUACAGAAUUUCAGCUCUGCGUGUGUAUGACCAGAAUUUAAGAAUUAUAGAUUUCAGAACUAAAUAGUUUUACCAUGUAUAUCAGUACUAACCGAUACAUGAGUAAGGUUAUUCCGGGUACCUUUUUGGUGUGAUUUUUUAGUAUUUUUACAACUUAUCAGAUUUCAGAUUAUAGAAUUCGGCCUAUUCAGUUCUCAGAUUAAAACUUUCAGCUUAUAGUAUUGAGCAGCAGCAAUAUUUCAUAGAUUUUCAUGGAUGUCAUAUUAUUUAUAUUCGUUGCAUUUUACAGUUACUUAUCUAGAAGAACAAAGAAUUUUAUAAUGUUUUCAUGUUUAAUUUUAAAAGUGUUACCAGAUUUCAGAAUUUCUAGAAGUUUUAGUAGUGCAAUAAUUUUCAGAAAAUAUGUAUAAAUGAGAAAAGUUUACUUAUUUGAAAAUUAUCCACUCACUGAGCUUUAAACUCAUAUAUUUUUUCUCCUUUUUCUUUAUUGACAGAUAGCAGCCGAUUUGAGCAGCUUUAGAGCAUGUUAAAUCACCGAAUUGAGCCACGCUUCGUAGGUUGUAUGACAUCCUUUAUCAGAUUAUACAGUAUGUGUUCUUUUGGAGUACAUGUAUCUUAAAUCAAAAAAAUUCAUCAUGGGCUCAUUACAUCUUUGACAUAUUUGGUAUAUUUGAGGCUUGUUGGUUGUAAAGCAAGUAAAUAUUGAAUGGCUAGCAUUUUAUUUGAAUAGUUUGUAUUAUGAGGUACUGAGGUACCCUGUUUUAUAUUAUAGGUAUUGAAUUGUGGAAACUUGGUUAUUGUCCAGGUGGUUUUAGUUCAUAUUUUAG
RNAcentral lists this long non-coding RNA (1180 nucleotides) under Olea europaea subsp. europaea. The record is from RNAcentral. Lineage: Eukaryota; Viridiplantae; Streptophyta; Magnoliopsida; Lamiales; Oleaceae.